Molecule: small nuclear RNA, 18 nt
Filed under: Arabidopsis thaliana (thale cress)
Lineage: Eukaryota; Viridiplantae; Streptophyta; Magnoliopsida; Brassicales; Brassicaceae
Description: snRNA_05446
Source: RNAcentral
GCGCCUAACGGCGUGCCU